CGGUUAGCUCAGAGGUUAGAGCGCCUCGUUCACACCGAGGAGGUCGCAGGUUCAAAUCCUGCAUCGCC
Molecule: transfer RNA, 68 nt
Filed under: marine eukaryotic metagenome
Rfam family: tRNA
About the family: Transfer RNA (tRNA) molecules are approximately 80 nucleotides in length. Their secondary structure includes four short double-helical elements and three loops (D, anti-codon, and T loops). Further hydrogen bonds mediate the characteristic L-shaped molecular structure. tRNAs have two regions of fundamental functional importance: the anti-codon, which is responsible for specific mRNA codon recognition, and the 3' end, to which the tRNAs corresponding amino acid is attached (by aminoacyl-tRNA synthetases). tRNAs cope with the degeneracy of the genetic code in two manners: having more than one tRNA (with a specific anti-codon) for a particular amino acid; and 'wobble' base-pairing, i.e. permitting non-standard base-pairing at the 3rd anti-codon position.
Source: RNAcentral